CCCGCCGUGCAUGCCCAGCCCGGUGCCCACCCUGCUGUGCCCGCCGGAGCCCCUCGCCUACUUCAAGCCCUCGCCCGGGCCGCCGGCCGCUGGCGGCGGGCAGGAAGGCGGCGGCGGCACGGGGGCGGCGGCCACGGUGCUGGACGAGGUGGCGGUGUUGGAGCUGGAGGACGGCUGCGGAGAGGACGAGGAUACAUGGUUGUACGUCUUGCCUACCAAGACUCGCACUCCUCAAGAGAAAUCACUGACUCCUCUGCAGUGGUGCAGACGUGUUCUGGAUCAUCCAACUCCUGAGAUAGAAGCUGCAAAACGUUCCCUAUGCUUUAGACUGGAGCAAGCUAGCCGAUGGCGGAGCCUCUUCUCUACGCCUGUCUCCUUGGCUUUUCCCUAUAGUCCUGUUGCAAGACUCACCCCAUAUACCAAUGGCUGUAAUAGUCCCAGCUUCUCUAAAACUUCCAGUAAAGCAAUACUAACACCUGAGCGGACAGGGUACAUUUCUAGGAGUUCCCCUUUGAGUCCACAGUCAUCGAUAGACAGUGAACUGAGCACUUCGGAGCUGGAGGAUGAUUCCAUCUCCAUGGGGUACAAGCUGCAGGACCUCACUGAUGUUCAGAUCAUGGCUCGUCUACAGGAGGAGAGCCUUAGGCAAGAUUAUGCUUCAACUUCAGCAUCUGUGUCAAGGCACACUUCCAGUGUUUCUCUGAACGCGGGGAAAAAAGGGACAUGCAGUGACCAGGAGUAUGAUCGCUAUAGUCUUGAGGAUGAGGAAGAGUUUGACCACCUCCCACCUCCGCAGCCACGUCUGACUCGCUGCUCCCCCUUCCAGAGAGGGAUUCCUCACUCACAGACUUUCUCCAGUAUCCGGGACUGCAGGAGGAGCCCUACUUCCCCACAAUUCCCUACAAAUACCUAUCAGCAGCCCUUCUACUCUCCUCAAGCCCAAACUCCAGAGCAGCAACCAAAUAGGAUUAAUGGAGGGCCAUUUAUCUCAGCAGACACAAGGACCCAUCAAAGAAGUAACAUAGCUGCUUGAUGGAUGAGAAUUUGCAGGUGCAGCAGGAAUCUGUUGCCUGAGGAGUGAAUGAAUCAGCAGCAGAGCAAACUGCUGGAACAAGAAGGGACUAAUGAACAGGAGGCAAAAGACGUGGCCACCCAAGACAUGGAGGAAAUCCGAGCUACUUCUGUACCUAUUUUUCUGCUAUUGUGGCUGCAUCCACUGGAGAGUUCAAGGCACAAAUAAUGCCUGGGCUGGCUGAUGCAGUCUCUAAGUGGAAGAGCAUGUAGAGUCCAAAGAAUUCUGCUAUAAAACAUGAUACUUAAAAAGCUAUUUUAUGCAGUGCUGUCUUUCCUACUGCCAUCCUGCUGCUCAGACCUUUCUUUGCCAAGUUCUGUGAUGUUGAAUCAGGAUUUCAAAACCUAGGACUUUGAAAGGGUAGACUAGGACUCCAGAAUUAACUGUAGCUACAGACAUCCCAUACUCGUGAUUUUUUUUGUCACUCUUGCCCAAGGAUUGCAUCACAGGGUGACAGUUCCCUCUUCAGUUUGCAGAAUUCUUAAAUAUUUUAGAGAUGGAUACAUACAGUAGCUGUAUGGGUGCUAUUGUUUGCAUCCCCAGGACAGUUUUGGAAGCCUGAUAACUGUUUUAUCAUUGUUACAUCACUGAUAUUAAUACUCACUACCUGGCUGCACCACAGUGGCGAUCCCCUUGCUGUUCAUUGCUGUACCACUGACUGAGUUUCAAUCAGUUGUUAGUCACUGUACCACUGACUGAGUUUCAAUCAGUUGUUAGUCACUGAAGCACAAUUCUGACUUGUUUCGUGAAAGAUUGUCUGUACUGUAGUUCUUUAUUAGGAUUUGACUGUACUCUGGAUUCCAGGGAUUCAAACCUUACAUUUCCUAUUCCUGCUGGAGAUACAACCUUUCUGUGACACAGGUUGCUGGAGUUAUGUAGGCAUCACAUAUAUUGAAGUUACUGUCAGUGACUCCUUAUAACUUGUAUAGAUAGAACUGUACUGUCAUGUCUUACUACUUUUCACUUGUUAGCAGCUUUAAGGAUUAGAUGAGCUAAUAAUGGUGCUAAAUAGGUUGUAUAUUUAUGUGGACUGAUCAACAGAGAUUUCUAAAUAAAUCUGCAGUUUCUGUGAACUGAACUUACCCUUUAUGAGCCAGGAGGUUGACCCAUGCCAGCAGUUCCAAGCAGUAUGCUGUGUUGUUCCUGUGCAUAAAACCAGAGCAUCAGUCUGGAAAUGCCCUGCUCUCUGUGAGAGAGAGCACUUGUAGCUGCUGUGACAAGACAAGCUUUCUGUUGCAGUGUGAGAAGUGUCUUUCUGUCACCUGCCAGCCUUUGAAACCUGUGUGGAACAGGAGCUGGUGAUCUCUGUGCCGACCAUGCUGUGAGGGGCGACGCAGCCACCUCGGCAGGGCACACACUUGUGCUUCUGAACCUGGCCAAGAGGCAAACCUCGGUGAUGUUGUCAGUGACAAUUGAAUAAAUGCCCCUUGUUUUCCCACAGCAGUGCUUUACUGAAGUCUGCCAUGUCACAGGACCAGGUCCUUCAGUCUGUGCCUUUCUCCCAGUCCCUUCUGAUUGCACAUAACUGAGUCAUCUCCCUUUGGCCUGAUGGCAGAAGAGACCAGAAGAGUUUUCCCUUAGAUUCCCUCAUGGUGGUGUGAUUGGGAAGAUGCCUUGAGAUGUCAGGAAGGUUUCAGUUCCUCUCUUCAAAUGAGCUGGUGUGACUGGGAUUGAAGAUGUCUUCUGACCACUUAAGACACUUGCUUAGCUGUUGUACCUGCCCCAAAAGCAUCUGGGGCAUUUGCAGCUUUCUUUUUGUGAAAAGCCCUACAAAAAACCUUACUCUGAAAAUGCCUACCAAAUCAGGUACCACAAGUGAGGUAGGAGGGAGAAACACCAAAUUUGAAAAUUCUUAUAUCGUCCCAGGGCUCCAAGCAACUGAACAGAAUCAAGACUUUGCAGUUUUUGCAAGUGGCUGCCUGCAGAAACUUAACAUGCUAACAAGACAAACUCCGCAGAAGCAUGCCUAACCUCGCUCGGAUGCCAAGCACCCCCACCAUCAGCAGCACCCCUGGCUUUGCUGGUUCUCCCG
Non-coding RNA from Zonotrichia albicollis (white-throated sparrow), 3104 nucleotides. NCBI's taxonomy places the organism in Eukaryota, Metazoa, Chordata, Aves, Passeriformes, Passerellidae. The record is from RefSeq and is a predicted model, not a curated record.